Molecule: ribosomal RNA, 792 nt
Filed under: Staphylococcus sp. MG89
Lineage: Bacteria; Bacillati; Bacillota; Bacilli; Caryophanales; Staphylococcaceae
Description: bacterial SSU rRNA
Rfam family: Bacterial small subunit ribosomal RNA
Source: RNAcentral
UGCCUAAUACAUGCAAGUCUAGCGAACAGACGAGGAGCUUGCUCCUCUGACGUUAGCGGCGGACGGGUGAGUAACACGUGGAUAACCUACCUAUAAGACUGGGAUAACUUCGGGAAACCGGAGCUAAUACCGGAUAAUAUAUUGAACCGCAUGGUUCAAUAGUGAAAGACGGUUUUGCUGUCACUUAUAGAUGGAUCCGCGCCGCAUUAGCUAGUUGGUAAGGUAACGGCUUACCAAGGCAACGAUGCGUAGCCGACCUGAGAGGGUGAUCGGCCACACUGGAACUGAGACACGGUCCAGACUCCUACGGGAGGCAGCAGUAGGGAAUCUUCCGCAAUGGGCGAAAGCCUGACGGAGCAACGCCGCGUGAGUGAUGAAGGUCUUCGGAUCGUAAAACUCUGUUAUUAGGGAAGAACAAAUGUGUAAGUAACUAUGCACGUCUUGACGGUACCUAAUCAGAAAGCCACGGCUAACUACGUGCCAGCAGCCGCGGUAAUACGUAGGUGGCAAGCGUUAUCCGGAAUUAUUGGGCGUAAAGCGCGCGUAGGCGGUUUUUUAAGUCUGAUGUGAAAGCCCACGGCUCAACCGUGGAAGGUCAUUGGAAACUGGAAAACUUGAGUGCAGAAGAAGAAAGUGGAAUUCCAUGUGUAGCGGUGAAAUGCGCAGAGAUAUGGAGGAACACCAGUGGCGAAGGCGACUUUCUGGGCUGUAACUGACGCUGAUGUGCGAAAGCGUGGGGAUCAAACAGGAUUAGAUACCCUGGUAGUCCACGCCGUAAACGAUGAGUGCUAA